This 348-nucleotide ribosomal RNA is filed under the name uncultured bacterium. Its description in RNAcentral is "partial 16S ribosomal RNA". It matches the Rfam family "Bacterial small subunit ribosomal RNA", at positions 338 to 683 of the family's 1533-position model. The record is from RNAcentral.
CCUACGGGAGACUGCAGUGAGGAAUAUUGGUCAAUGGACGAGAGUCUGAACCAGCCAAGUAGCGUGAAGGAUGACGGCCCUAUGGGUGGUAAACUUCGUGUAUAAAGGAAUAAAACGAGGCACGUGAGCCUGUUUGCAUGUACAUUAUGAAGAAGGAUCGGCUAACUCCGUGCCAGCAGCAGCGGUAAUACGGAGGAUCCGAGCGUUAUCCGGAUUUAGUGGGGUUAAAGGGAGAGUAGAGGGGUUGUUAAGUCAGUUGUGCCAGUUGGCGGCUCCACCGGAAAAUUGCACUUGAUACUGGCAGUCUUGCGUACAGUUGCGGUAGGCGGACUUCGUGGUGUAGCGGUG